GUUUCUGUAGUGUAGUGGUUAUCACGUUUGCCAAACACGCGAAAGGUCCCCCGGUUCGAAACUGGGCAGAAACU
RNAcentral lists this transfer RNA (74 nucleotides) under Merluccius polli (Benguela hake). Its description in RNAcentral is "tRNA-Val". It matches the Rfam family "tRNA". Rfam says of the family: Transfer RNA (tRNA) molecules are approximately 80 nucleotides in length. Their secondary structure includes four short double-helical elements and three loops (D, anti-codon, and T loops). Further hydrogen bonds mediate the characteristic L-shaped molecular structure. tRNAs have two regions of fundamental functional importance: the anti-codon, which is responsible for specific mRNA codon recognition, and the 3' end, to which the tRNAs corresponding amino acid is attached (by aminoacyl-tRNA synthetases). tRNAs cope with the degeneracy of the genetic code in two manners: having more than one tRNA (with a specific anti-codon) for a particular amino acid; and 'wobble' base-pairing, i.e. permitting non-standard base-pairing at the 3rd anti-codon position. Lineage: Eukaryota; Metazoa; Chordata; Actinopteri; Gadiformes; Merlucciidae. The record is from RNAcentral.